This 72-nucleotide transfer RNA is filed under the name Chloroflexota bacterium. RNAcentral describes it as "Chloroflexi bacterium tRNA-Arg". It matches the Rfam family "tRNA". Rfam says of the family: Transfer RNA (tRNA) molecules are approximately 80 nucleotides in length. Their secondary structure includes four short double-helical elements and three loops (D, anti-codon, and T loops). Lineage: Bacteria; Bacillati; Chloroflexota. RNAcentral also lists the same sequence under 1 other name. The record is from RNAcentral.
GUCCUCAUAGCUCAAUGGAUAGAGCGUUGGUCUCCGAAGCCAGAGAUCCAGGUUCGAUUCCUGGUGGGGACA